AUGAAGAUGGUCACUCCGAGCUUUCUCCUGUGGGGGCUUCUGCUUUAUAUUCAGGGAUCCUGUGGACAGAUUGUGAUGACUCAGACUCCAGACUCUGUCUCUGUGUCACCAGGAGAACGCGUCACCAUGACAUGUAAAGCCAGUAGUAAUGUUAACAGCUAUGUAGCCUGGUACCAACAGAAACCAGGACAACCCCCAAAGCUCCUGAUCUAUUAUGCCAGCAGCAGAUACACCGGGACCCCAGAGCGGUUCAGCGGCAGCGGGUCGGGAACUGAUUUCACUUUUACCAUCAGCGGAGCGCAAGCAGAAGAUGCAGCAGAUUAUUACUGUCAGCAGGGUUACACCCCUCUCACAGUGAUACAGAGCCGUACAAAAACCUUCCUCUUCCAUCUCUAUUAUAUCAUACAGAAUAGAAACCGCUGAUAAAAAUAUUCUAAAGCUCAGCGCAGGUGUUUAGCCCCGAAUCACUAACACAGAAUGUAUAUGCAAAGUCUGCAGUACUGUUACACAGCUUUUCCAAAUCACAAAGCUACUUUUCUUUGAAACAUUUUUUCUAAAAAUAA
Non-coding RNA from Spea bombifrons (plains spadefoot toad), 563 nucleotides. The record is from the annotation of a RefSeq genome assembly. NCBI's taxonomy places the organism in Eukaryota, Metazoa, Chordata, Amphibia, Anura, Pelobatidae.